Symsagittifera roscoffensis is the source of this 560-nucleotide long non-coding RNA. RefSeq lists it as uncharacterized. Lineage: Eukaryota; Metazoa; Xenacoelomorpha; Acoela; Convolutidae. The record is from RefSeq and is a predicted model, not a curated record. The transcript has 3 exons.
UUUGUAAGUUUAGCACUGCUUUCAAAGAAGAUACUACUUGACGACAACUUUAAAUUUUCUUCAUUAUUUUGGAGCUAUGAGUUUUUCCAUUGCACUUCAUAUCAAAAUCUUUGUGGUGGCUUAUUCAAAAGUAGAAAAAAGAGGCUCCAAAGUGGCUUGUUUGACUCACCGAAGAAAACAAAUGCUAGCUUUUGUGUUUGGACUCAACGUAAUGUUUUACAUCGUUUUCUUUUUACCUUUUGCGUUUGCUGCUCUCGUCAAGGACUUGAAGACGUUCGAGUAUGAGACCGAUGUUGUAGAAUAUAAUCCUUUAGUGUUGGGUUUAUUAUACUACACAUCGGACGGAGCAAAAUCUCCCACAACCCUACCGUACUCGGCAAUACAAUAUGAUGAUGAUGUCGAAAUAUGGAAAUCGAUGAAAAGAUCUGAAAUUGGAUAUAAAUUCUUCAGAAUUCUCUCCCUGCUGUAUGGACCUUUGUAUUAUGUUUCUUUGAUUUUGAUUCUGACUCAUUUCAAAACAGCCGCUCAAAUUAUACGCGAUUGGUUCAAAGGAAAAAUAC